UUUGACAGACCUAAAACAAUUACUGUCUGUUGCUAAGGUUUCGGCUAUAAGAAAAAAAAUGUCCUCACGCUUUCUGUCUGAUUGAGGCAGCCAAGGUUGAAUAAAAGAAUACCAGG
Molecule: small nucleolar RNA, 116 nt
Filed under: Microcebus murinus (gray mouse lemur)
Lineage: Eukaryota; Metazoa; Chordata; Mammalia; Primates; Cheirogaleidae
Description: Small nucleolar RNA SNORA31 (ENSMICG00000025316.3)
Source: RNAcentral